AAGAAAACAUUGAAGACCCAUUUGGUUUUCUCCAUGGGGCUCAGUGUGCCGUGGCUGCAAACAGCAGCCUCCUUGGUAGUGUAUACAGCCUGCUGAUUGUGUGGGUUGCCCUAACAGAUCUUGAAGACAGCC
Vulpes vulpes (red fox) is the source of this 132-nucleotide small nucleolar RNA. Its record names the gene SNORA70. It matches the Rfam family "Small nucleolar RNA SNORA70". From Rfam's summary of the family: snoRNA U70 seems to be exclusive to mammals and is a member of the H/ACA class of snoRNA which contain H (ANANNA) and ACA box motifs. H/ACA box snoRNAs are involved in the conversion of uridines to pseudouridines (5-ribosyluracil) a constituent of structural RNAs (transfer, ribosomal, small nuclear, and small nucleolar). NCBI's taxonomy places the organism in Eukaryota, Metazoa, Chordata, Mammalia, Carnivora, Canidae. The record is from Ensembl.